Carya illinoinensis is the source of this 2088-nucleotide RNA transcript. It is a transcript of the gene named DNA-3-methyladenine glycosylase 1-like, with no coding region annotated. The record is from RefSeq and is a predicted model, not a curated record. NCBI's taxonomy places the organism in Eukaryota, Viridiplantae, Streptophyta, Magnoliopsida, Fagales, Juglandaceae. The transcript has 2 exons.
GUCCAAGACUAGGCGGAUUCGUUCUCUUCUCCUAUUCGGCUAUUCCAGUAAACGUUCAUUGUUUAAACAAUAGAAAAAUGGUAUGGUUCGACGGCGUCAAAACUGGCUGCUGUUGAUGGGGCUAUUGCUAUAUAUAUUUUAUCUGAAUCAUCUGCUUGUGAUCUCGCCACACAGCUAUGAAACUUCGGGGGAGAGAACUUAGAAACCUCACCGCCGCAGGGAGUCGGACCCAGAUUCGGCUUGCUAUAACCCGAACUAGCGAUCAGCCUCUCUCUGUCGCAAUGGGUAAGCAAAAGCGAAGCAAAAUCCUUUCAAGUUCUUUUCAGCUUCACCAAUCUCAAACUUCCCCUGAACCCACCUCCGUUGACAUUUCCGAAAGCAUUUCAUCCUCCUCUAAAAUCCCAUUUCGACCCAGAAAAGUGAGAAAACUAUCGUCCAAUGCCAGAAAACCCCCGCAGCCUCCGGUCCUCGAUUCGGACUCCUCCAAACCCAGCAAAACAAACCCAUCUCAGCUCCCUAUCCUCUUGCCCAAAACCGUAAAGACCGUGAAGCCAUUGUCGUUUGAAGGCGAAAUUGAUGCUGCUCUUAACCAUUUGCGCAAAGCCGAUCCACUCCUUAUGAUCCCAAUCGAUUCGUAUCAGCCUCCGGCUUUUGAUUCUCCCGGACCUCCAUUCUUGACCCUGGCCAAAAGCAUUCUAUACCAGCAACUCGCGACCAACGCCGCCAAAUCAAUCUACAACCGCUUCGUCUCGCUUUGUGGUGGCGAGGCUGAGGUUGUCCCCGAAACCAUCCUCAGUCUCAACCCUAAUCAGCUCCGAGAAGUCGGAAUCUCCGGGCGGAAAGCGAGCUACCUUCACGACUUAGCGGACAAGUUCAAGAGUGGGAUUUUAUCGGACUCCUCGAUUCUCGAAAUGGACGACGAGUCCCUGCUAACGAAGCUCACCUUGGUUAAGGGAAUAGGGGCUUGGUCAGUGCACAUGUUCAUGAUAUUCUCGCUGCAGAGGCCGGAUGUUCUACCGGUCGGCGAUCUCGGCGUGAGGAAAGGUGUGCAACUUUUGUAUGGGCUAAAGGAAUUGCCCCGGCCUCUGGACAUGGAGCAGAUUUGUGAGAAGUGGAAGCCUUAUAGGUCUGUUGGCUCGUGGUAUAUGUGGAGGUGUAUGGAAGCCAAAGGAGCAAAAGCUACGUCUAAGGUGGCAGCAACGGCAGUGGUAGAUGCUACUCCACCGGAGUAGCAGCAAUAAAUCCAAAAGACCGCAUUUGCUGUGGCCAUAGGUUAGGAUUUUGAGAGCUCAAGAAAAUUAAAGGAUCUUAUCAGUAGCUCUUGUGCAUUGCAAUAAUUGAUUUCAUACACUUCUUGUCUGUUAUGUUCUAUUAAUGAAUGGAAGUUAGUGAAAAAAAUAAUGUGCAAGUUUGUGAGGUGAGGCUUCCUAGUGCUGUUAGGUUCCAAUUGUAUCCUUAAACUAGGCUUUUUUGUUGUUAAUUCUAGAGGGGUUGGCGUCAUGUGAAUUACCCCAUGGAUUCACCUCUUGCUAUCUCUGAUGACAUGGCUGUGUGUGGUGAAGUCUGCAUUUUUCAGUGUUUGGGUUUUGACCUUUCUGCAGGAAUAGAACUCAGCGAAGGGCAUCAUAAACCUGCGUAACUAGAAUUCAUCUAAGGGAAGUCAAGUAGAGUGGGUAAAGCACAGGAGGGGACUCGUAUGAGCUGCAAAACCAGAUACACAUUCUCGAGUUGCAGUAUCUCUUUCAUCUGUCAAACUUGCCGUUUCUUCCUUUGUAACCAAUUCUAGUUUCACACUUGGGCAUUAUAUAGACUUGGUCAUCCUUCUAAUUGUAGAUAGCAUCUUUCAUGAAUUUCUACCUGGUAUGACAGGAUCUAAAACUACUCAUCCUUGUACUGAAUGUUCUUUUGCUUUUGCUAAGCAAAAGAGAUUGUCUUUUUUUUUUUUUUUUUUUUUUGCCCUAAUAAUAAUGAUUCUCAAUACCUCUCCCUCUGGUGGAAGUGGGAUUAGUGUUAGAUUGCUCAUGUACUUUAUAUAUUGAAUUGGGCUUUAUAGAUAAAGAGAAAUGAUUGUUGGCCCUUUAGAAAGUA